Molecule: long non-coding RNA, 252 nt
Organism: Carassius carassius (crucian carp)
Lineage: Eukaryota; Metazoa; Chordata; Actinopteri; Cypriniformes; Cyprinidae
Exons: 3
Source: RefSeq, a predicted model, not a curated record
AAACGUGAUCCAGAACAGUUCUGCCAUGAUGGGGGGUUUGAAUGUCCCUGUUGCAGUUUCACCACUGAAGAGAAGUUUUCUUUUACACUUCACCUAGAGAACCACAUAAGUCAUGCAGUGGAGCAUGGAGGUUACUUCAUCUUAAAAUGAAUGGCCCAUGGAAGAUCAUUAAAACCAAGGUUGUCAGAGUCCACCAUCACCAAACAGCCAGCUAGUAAGGAAACUGUGAUGGGUCAAGAUGACAGUGAUGAG